This 449-nucleotide ribosomal RNA is filed under the name Streptococcus cristatus. RNAcentral describes it as "bacterial SSU rRNA". It matches the Rfam family "Bacterial small subunit ribosomal RNA", at positions 28 to 471 of the family's 1533-position model. The record is from RNAcentral. Lineage: Bacteria; Bacillati; Bacillota; Bacilli; Lactobacillales; Streptococcaceae.
GACGAACGCUGGCGGCGUGCCUAAUACAUGCAAGUAGAACGCUGAAGGGAGAGCUUGCUCUUCUGGAUGAGUUGCGAACGGGUGAGUAACGCGUAGGUAACCUGCCUGGUAGCGGGGGAUAACUAUUGGAAACGAUAGCUAAUACCGCAUAACAUUGACUAUUGCAUGAUAGUCAAUUAAAAGGUGCAAUUGCACCACUACCAGAUGGACCUGCGUUGUAUUAGCUAGUUGGUGGGGUAACGGCUCACCAAGGCGACGAUACAUAGCCGACCUGAGAGGGUGAUCGGCCACACUGGGACUGAGACACGGCCCAGACUCCUACGGGAGGCAGCAGUAGGGAAUCUUCGGCAACGGACGGAAGUCUGACCGAGCAACGCCGCGUGAGUGAAGAAGGUUUUCGGAUCGUAAAGCUCUGUUGUAAGAGAAGAAACGAGUGUGAGAGUGGAAAG